Schistocerca serialis cubense is the source of this 292-nucleotide long non-coding RNA. RefSeq lists it as uncharacterized. NCBI's taxonomy places the organism in Eukaryota, Metazoa, Arthropoda, Insecta, Orthoptera, Acrididae. The record is from RefSeq and is a predicted model, not a curated record. The transcript is spliced from 3 exons.
UAGUCGUUCGGCUUUAGUAGCGAGUGGACGGUUGUACUGAGCAGAAGUCGGCAUGCGUCGGCGGCGUGCUCUUCUCGCGACUCUGGUCACGAUUCGGGACGAUAUGUAUUGCUGUAGAAGACCGCGGACAGCCCCUGCUCGGCUUUCACAAGCGUGAGCUGGCGCGGUCGACGUGCUCGUCAGCUGUCAAAGCACACACAGACGUCCAGGACCGCGAUCCGUCACAACCCCGAGCCGCGACCACCAAAUGCAGCAGCACAACUGGGAGCUACAGUGGCAGUGCCCUCCAGCU